Molecule: transfer RNA, 84 nt
Filed under: Desulfovibrio piger
Lineage: Bacteria; Pseudomonadati; Thermodesulfobacteriota; Desulfovibrionia; Desulfovibrionales; Desulfovibrionaceae
Also listed under: 1 other name
Description: tRNA-Leu
Rfam family: tRNA
About the family: Transfer RNA (tRNA) molecules are approximately 80 nucleotides in length. Their secondary structure includes four short double-helical elements and three loops (D, anti-codon, and T loops).
Source: RNAcentral
GCGAGAGUGGCGGAAUUGGUAGACGCACUGGACUUAGAAUCCAGCGGCCUGGCCAUGCGGGUUCAAGUCCCGCCUCUCGCACCA